GAUCCUGGCUCAGGACGAACGCUGGCGGCGCGCCUAACACAUGCAAGUCGAACGAGCGAGAGAGAGCUUUGCUUUCUCGAGCGAGUGGCGAACGGGUGAGUAACGCGUGAGGAACCUGCCUCAAAGAGGGGGACAACAGUUGGAAACGACUGCUAAUACCGCAUAAGCCCACGGUGCCGCAUGGCACAGAGGGAAAAGGAGCAAUCCGACUUUGAGAUGGCCUCGCGUCCGAUUAG
Molecule: ribosomal RNA, 236 nt
Filed under: uncultured bacterium
Lineage: Bacteria
Description: partial 16S ribosomal RNA
Rfam family: Bacterial small subunit ribosomal RNA
Source: RNAcentral